RNAcentral lists this ribosomal RNA (1344 nucleotides) under uncultured bacterium. RNAcentral describes it as "16S ribosomal RNA". It matches the Rfam family "Bacterial small subunit ribosomal RNA", at positions 28 to 1378 of the family's 1533-position model. The record is from RNAcentral.
GACGAACGCUGGCGGCGUGCUUAACACAUGCAAGUCGAACGGAAAGGCCCUGCUUUUGUGGGGUGCUCGAGUGGCGAACGGGUGAGUAACACGUGAGUAACCUGCCCUUGACUUUGGGAUAACUUCAGGAAACUGGGGCUAAUACCGGAUAGGAGCACCUGCUGCAUGGUGGGGGUUGGAAAGUUUUGGCGGUUGGGGAUGGACUCGCGGCUUAUCAGCUUGUUGGUGGGGUAGUGGCUUACCAAGGCUUUGACGGGUAGCCGGCCUGAGAGGGUGACCGGCCACAUUGGGACUGAGAUACGGCCCAGACUCCUACGGGAGGCAGCAGUGGGGAAUAUUGCACAAUGGGCGGGAGCCUGAUGCAGCAACGCCGCGUGCGGGAUGACGGCCUUCGGGUUGUAAACCGCUUUCGCCUGUGACGAAGCGUGAGUGACGGUAAUGGGUAAAGAAGCACCGGCUAACUACGUGCCAGCAGCCGCGGUGAUACGUAGGGUGCGAGCGUUGUCCGGAUUUAUUGGGCGUAAAGGGCUCGUAGGUGGUUGAUCGCGUCGGAAGUGUAAUCUUGGGGCUUAACCCUGAGCGUGCUUUCGAUACGGGUUGACUUGAGGAAAGGUAGGGGAGAAUGGAAUUCCUGGUGGAGCGAUGGAAUGCGCAGAUAUCAGGAGGAACACCAGUGGCGAAGGCGGUUCUCUGGGCCUUUCCUGACGCUGAGGAGCGAAAGCGUGGGGAGCGAACAGGCUUAGAUACCCUGGUAGUCCACGCUGUAAACGGUGGGUACUAGGUGUGGGGUCCAUUCCACGGGUUCCGUGCCGUAGCUAACGCUUUAAGUACCCCGCCUGGGGAGUACGGCCGCAAGGCUAAAACUCAAAGGAAUUGACGGGGCCCCGCACAAGCGGCGGAGCAUGCGGAUUAAUUCGAUGCAACGCGUAGAACCUUACCUGGGUUUGACAUGGAUCGGGAGUGCUCAGAGAUGGGUGUGCCUCUUUUGGGGUCGGUUCACAGGUGGUGCAUGGCUGUCGUCAGCUCGUGUCGUGAGAUGUUGGGUUAAGUCCCGCAACGAGCGCAACCCUUGUUCACUGUUGCCAGCACGUUAUGGUGGGGACUCAGUGGAGACCGCCGGGGUCAACUCGGAGGAAGGUGGGGAUGACGUCAAGUCAUCAUGCCCCUUAUGUCCAGGGCUUCACGCAUGCUACAAUGGCUGGUACAGAGAGUGGCGAGCCUGUGAGGGUGAGCGAAUCUCGGAAAGCCGGUCUCAGUUCGGAUUGGGGUCUGCAACUCGACCUCAUGAAGUCGGAGUCGCUAGUAAUCGCAGAUCAGCAACGCUGCGGUGAAUACGUUCCCGGG